This 510-nucleotide ribosomal RNA is filed under the name uncultured bacterium. RNAcentral's name for it is "partial 16S ribosomal RNA". It matches the Rfam family "Bacterial small subunit ribosomal RNA", at positions 28 to 507 of the family's 1533-position model. The record is from RNAcentral.
GACGAACGCUGGCGGCGUGCUUAACACAUGCAAGUCGAACGAAGAGCGAUGGAAGCUUGCUUCUAUCAAUCUUAGUGGCGAACGGGUGAGUAACGCGUAAUCAACCUGCCCUUCAGAGGGGGACAACAGUUGGAAACGACUGCUAAUACCGCAUACGAUCUAAUCUCGGCAUCGAGGAUAGAUGAAAGGUGGCCUCUACAUGUAAGCUAUCACUGAAGGAGGGGAUUGCGUCUGAUUAGCUAGUUGGAGGGGUAACGGCCCACCAAGGCGAUGAUCAGUAGCCGGUCUGAGAGGAUGAACGGCCACAUUGGGAAUGAGACACGGCCCAGACUCCUACGGGAGGCAGCAGUGGGGAAUCUUCCGCAAUGGACGAAAGUCUGACGGAGAAACGCCGCGUGAGUGAUGACGGCCUUCGGGUUGUAAAGCUCUGUUAAUCGGGACGAAAGGCCUUCUUGCGAAUAGUGAGAAGGAUUGACGGUACCGGAAUAGAAAGCCACGGCUAACUACGUG